Long non-coding RNA from Cyanistes caeruleus (blue tit), 464 nucleotides. The record is from Ensembl. NCBI's taxonomy places the organism in Eukaryota, Metazoa, Chordata, Aves, Passeriformes, Paridae.
CGGGCUGAGCUGAGGGCCGGGCCGGGCCGGGCUGAGGGGCGUUGAUACCCAACAGCGGGAAUUGAGCUCUGGAGGCUUUUCUGUCAGAAUUAGUUUCCAGUUCAUGCGUCGGGCCACUCACUUCACUUUUUCCAAACGCCUACAAGUCUUGGGGCUUUUUUGAAGGGGAAGAAGAAAUGUUUUCCUCUGUGGACCAGCCAGGAAAUAGCUGUUGUUGGCAAGGACAAGGAUAAAGGGUCAUGCUAAGGAAGAUGACAAAAGACAGAUAACAACAAGUCUGUCAGAAACUGAUGAGAAUUUCAUCAAGACUGAAGAAGUCAGUCAAGAUAAACAUUCCCUUGAAAUAUCCCGAUGAACCUGGACUUUCAGAAAGUAGUAAAUGUUCAGUGUAUGAACACAGCAUUUCUUUCAGGCACAUGUUAGAAAUGAACUCCUGACCGAAAUAAAACAGAAGACUGUCUCCA